Molecule: long non-coding RNA, 936 nt
Filed under: Cairina moschata (Muscovy duck)
Lineage: Eukaryota; Metazoa; Chordata; Aves; Anseriformes; Anatidae
Description: domestica (muscovy Duck (domestic type)) lncRNA (ENSCMMG00000014404.1)
Source: RNAcentral
GGGAGAAUGUUUUACUGUUUGCAUGCCCAAGUGUCAAAGCUGUUGAGUGGUUAAUGAAAUGCAGUGUCAGCAGCAUCUUUAGGAAUAGGAAGUUCAGAAACAAUAGUGACUCUGUUGAUGUGUGUUCUCCUGUUCUCUUCAGCUAAAAAAUGCCUCAGCUGAAUGAUAGCUUUGGGGGAAUGAGCAUGUCCACGUCCAUGUCCUUCCGAGGAGGGCAGGAGACUUCAGCAGGAAUGACGAUGUCUAUAAGGAGUAUCUGUAUCCCUUCCUCCUCACCCUUGAACAACUUUCAACAUUUUCAUUGCAUGUCUAACUUAAUGAGAAACUUUGGAUGUGCCUGGAGCUGUAUCCAGGGCUGUGCUCAGAUGUUGAAAUGACUGCCUGAAAAUUGGCUUCCCAGGUAAAAUUGGCUCGGUGUAUGAAGUGUAGCGUGUUGUAGAUGUUCUCUCAGUGCAAUUUCUUUGAAGAAAUAAAUUACCACUGUGUUUUGUAUUGGGAGAAAGAGUGUUUUGUUGUCUAAAGUGACCCAUAAAGAUAACAGUUCUAGAAUUCGGCACUUUGCCUUUGCAGGUCUUUUUUAAUAGCUUUAAAAAUGAUAAAGGUUUUCUUAUUAUAAGGGUCUCUGGAUUACUUAUCUAAAUUAUGAGUGAGGUGGAUGUUAUCCUUCAAAGGACAAGCUUUCUGCUUGCUGUGUUCUCAGACAAAGUAUUUUCCGACAACGUGGUCUUCAGUGUUUGCCCAUUUUUGCACUAUAAUGAGAUGUAUGCCACUACAAAACUGCAUUAAAAGACUUUUUAAUGCAGUCGGGAGCCACAGCUAACAGGCCUUCUAUCAAUGUAAGUGCUAUAGCUCAAACUGAUAAAGAGCUAAAUCCCUAACAAGCUCUAAGUUUCAGCAUGGAAAUAGAAAGUAGACCUUCUCCGUGCAUGUUUUAAG